RNAcentral lists this transfer RNA (80 nucleotides) under Coemansia sp. RSA 2320. RNAcentral describes it as "tRNA-Leu". It matches the Rfam family "tRNA". From Rfam's summary of the family: Transfer RNA (tRNA) molecules are approximately 80 nucleotides in length. Their secondary structure includes four short double-helical elements and three loops (D, anti-codon, and T loops). Further hydrogen bonds mediate the characteristic L-shaped molecular structure. tRNAs have two regions of fundamental functional importance: the anti-codon, which is responsible for specific mRNA codon recognition, and the 3' end, to which the tRNAs corresponding amino acid is attached (by aminoacyl-tRNA synthetases). tRNAs cope with the degeneracy of the genetic code in two manners: having more than one tRNA (with a specific anti-codon) for a particular amino acid; and 'wobble' base-pairing, i.e. permitting non-standard base-pairing at the 3rd anti-codon position. The record is from RNAcentral. Lineage: Eukaryota; Fungi; Kickxellomycota; Kickxellomycetes; Kickxellales; Kickxellaceae. RNAcentral also lists the same sequence under 2 other names.
GGUCAGAUGGCCGAGCGGUCUAAGGCGCCAGAUUUAGGCUCUGGUCCGAAAGGGCGUGGGUUCGAAUCCCACUCUGAUCA